AGCUCCAUCGUCUAGCGGUCAAGGAUAACGGGCUCUGGACCCGUUGACGCCAGUUCGAAUCUGGCUGGAGCUA
This 73-nucleotide transfer RNA is filed under the name Microcaldota archaeon. RNAcentral's name for it is "tRNA-Gln". It matches the Rfam family "tRNA". Rfam says of the family: Transfer RNA (tRNA) molecules are approximately 80 nucleotides in length. Their secondary structure includes four short double-helical elements and three loops (D, anti-codon, and T loops). Further hydrogen bonds mediate the characteristic L-shaped molecular structure. tRNAs have two regions of fundamental functional importance: the anti-codon, which is responsible for specific mRNA codon recognition, and the 3' end, to which the tRNAs corresponding amino acid is attached (by aminoacyl-tRNA synthetases). tRNAs cope with the degeneracy of the genetic code in two manners: having more than one tRNA (with a specific anti-codon) for a particular amino acid; and 'wobble' base-pairing, i.e. permitting non-standard base-pairing at the 3rd anti-codon position. Lineage: Archaea; Nanobdellati; Microcaldota. The record is from RNAcentral. RNAcentral also lists the same sequence under 3 other names.